RNAcentral lists this ribosomal RNA (207 nucleotides) under uncultured bacterium. RNAcentral describes it as "partial 16S ribosomal RNA". It matches the Rfam family "Bacterial small subunit ribosomal RNA", at positions 568 to 774 of the family's 1533-position model. The record is from RNAcentral.
CGCGUAGGCGGCCUGAUAAGUAGGGGGUGAAAUCCUGCGGCUUAACCGCAGGGCUGCCUUCUAAACUGUCAGGCUUGAGCACAGUAGAGGCAGGUGGAAUUCCCGGUGUAGCGGUGGAAUGCGUAGAGAUCGGGAAGAACAUCAGUGGCGAAGGCGGCCUGCUGGGCUGUUGCUGACGCUGAGGCGCGACAGCGUGGGGAGCAAACA